UACGUAGGGGGCAAGCGUGGUCCGGAUUUAUUGGGCGUAAAGAGCUCGUAGGCGGUGUGUCGCGUCGGCCGUGAAAACCUGCAGCUUAACUGUGGGCUUGCGGUCGAUACGGGCAUCACUGGAGUUCGGCAGGGGAGACUGGAAUUCCUGGUGUAGCGGUGAAAUGCGCAGUUAUCAGGAGGAACACCGGUGGCGAAGGCGGGUCUCUGGGCCGAUACUGACGCUGAGGAGCGAAAGCGUGGGGAGCGAACAGG
RNAcentral lists this ribosomal RNA (254 nucleotides) under uncultured bacterium. RNAcentral's name for it is "partial 16S ribosomal RNA". It matches the Rfam family "Bacterial small subunit ribosomal RNA", at positions 524 to 776 of the family's 1533-position model. The record is from RNAcentral.